UACUUCUGGGGUAGGGGUAAAAUCCUGUAAUCCUAGAAGGACCACCGGUGGCGAAGGCGUCUGACUAGAACGAAUUCGACGGUGAGGAACGAAGCCCUGGGGCGCAAACGGGAUUAGAUACCCCGGUAGUCCAGGGUGUAAACGCUGCGGGCUUGGUGUUGGGGGUCCUUAGUGGGCGCCCAGUGCCGGAGAGAAGUUGUUAAGCCUGCUGCUUGGGGAGUACGUCCGCAAGGAUGAAACUUAAAGGAAU
This 250-nucleotide ribosomal RNA is filed under the name uncultured archaeon. RNAcentral's name for it is "partial 16S ribosomal RNA". It matches the Rfam family "Archaeal small subunit ribosomal RNA", at positions 616 to 865 of the family's 1478-position model. The record is from RNAcentral.